GACGAACGCUGGCGGCGUGCCUAAUACAUGCAAGUCGAACGCAUUUUCUUUCACCGUAGCUUGCUACACCGAAAGAAAAUGAGUGGCGAACGGGUGAGUAACACGUGGGUAACCUGCCCAUCAGCGGGGGAUAACACUUGGAAACAGGUGCUAAUACCGCAUAAUUCCAUUUACCGCAUGGUAGAUGGAUGAAAGGCGCUUUUGCGUCACUGAUGGAUGGACCCGCGGUGCAUUAGCUAGUUGGUGGGGUAACGGCCUACCAAGGCUGCGAUGCAUAGCCGACCUGAGAGGGAGAUCGGCCACACUGGGACUGAGACACGGCCCAGACUCCUACGGGAGGCAGCAGUAGGGAAUCUUUGGCAAUGGACACAAGUCUGACCGAGCAACGCCGCGUGAGUGAAGAAGGUUUUCGGAUCGUAAAACUCUGUUGUUAGAGAAGAACAAGGAUGAGAGUGGAAAGUUCAUCCCUUGACGGUAUCUAACCAGAAAGCCACGGCUAACUACGUG
This 507-nucleotide ribosomal RNA is filed under the name uncultured bacterium. RNAcentral describes it as "partial 16S ribosomal RNA". It matches the Rfam family "Bacterial small subunit ribosomal RNA", at positions 28 to 507 of the family's 1533-position model. The record is from RNAcentral.